This 1055-nucleotide long non-coding RNA is filed under the name Gossypium barbadense (sea-island cotton). RNAcentral describes it as "long non-coding RNA (GBAR_LNC001247)". The record is from RNAcentral. Lineage: Eukaryota; Viridiplantae; Streptophyta; Magnoliopsida; Malvales; Malvaceae.
UGCUGACGAGAUCCACACACGAACUGCCUACAAUUGGAUUACUAACACGUUAAUCUAACUAUUCAAAUACGAACUACGUAUUAACCCCUUACAAUAUUCGGCCAACCACACCUGCAGAUCAUAGUAAGCUUAUAAGAAAUCAAUAAGCAACUCAUUAACAAAUUUUUGUCAAUGUUUACCACAUAAUCAUAAUUUCACUGCAAGCUGUCUUCCUGAGCAACAGUCACUAAAUCAUUUAUAAUUGGAGCUACGAAACUCCAAAUCAAGUGCCGUUAAUUUUCCCUGCAAAUAGACUCAUAUAUCUUCUAUCCAUAAAAUUUUAAGAAUUUUUGAUUUGGCCAAUAAAUACCAGAUUUUUCUUAAAGUUUCCCAUGUUUCACUGUUUGACUAAUCUGACCACUCUUCAUUACGAAUCAAAUUUCUCAUUGUACAGAAUUUAAAAUAUGUUCUAGUUUAUUUCAUUUGAAACUAUACUCAUUAAUCUUUAAUUACAUAAUUUAUUCACCUUCUAAAUCAUCUCUCACAAUUUAUGGUGAUUUUCCAAAGUCACGUUACUGCUGCUGUCCCAAGCAGAUUUAUUACCAAAUCACUCUUUCACACAUAACUUGCAUCCAUGUUAUUUAAACAUGUAUAUCACCAAUCAAUUAUCACAUAUCUAUGAUUUCACUUAAGUAUAAUCUCCAUUUCAUCAUUUUAAAGCACAACAUGUUAGCCGAUUUUUCCCUUUAGCAUCUAAGGCAGAUGCAUGCUCAUUUGUUUGGCUCAACUUCACCUAUCUUCCAUUUUUCAUCAAAAGAACAUGAAACAACAACCAUUUCCUUCAUUUUAAUUCAUGACUAAAUGCUCACAACACAACUAAAAACCAAAAUAUGCUUCAAGAGUUAAGGUAGAAUCAAGAAGAACUCAUGAGCAUCAAGAUAGAAGCAAACUACCAUGAACUUACCUUCAAUUUUCUUCCCCCAAGUGACCGAACAUUCAAGAGCUUUCUCCUCUCCUUUCUCUUCUCUAACUUUAGGCUAUGAUGAACAAAGAUGGACAAAACUUUGUUCUUUUCA